RNAcentral lists this microRNA (22 nucleotides) under Scyliorhinus torazame (cloudy catshark). Its description in RNAcentral is "Sto-Mir-181-P1c_3p* (star (passenger))". Lineage: Eukaryota; Metazoa; Chordata; Chondrichthyes; Carcharhiniformes; Scyliorhinidae. The record is from RNAcentral.
ACCAUUGACCGUUGACUGUACC